RNAcentral lists this small RNA (551 nucleotides) under Pongo abelii (Sumatran orangutan). Its description in RNAcentral is "processed transcript". The record is from RNAcentral. Lineage: Eukaryota; Metazoa; Chordata; Mammalia; Primates; Hominidae.
GUAGUCACCAAGUUCUUCCUUAUGCCUGGUCUAAAGUCACUCAUUUCUUCAUUCACUUGACAAAAGUUCACUGGUCACCUACUGUGGACAAUGUGUGCGCCUUCAGUGAACCCCAGUGUCAUCCAUGCUGUUCAGGUGGAGGAGACAAUUUGGGCAAUGUCCUUAAAUAUCCACGAGGGAGCUAAUGAAGCCCCCUCUAGCUCUCUGGUAUCUUGGCUAAUCCCAGGUUCUGGUAGCUUUCUCUAACAAACACUCAUCUAACUGAAUUGUAACCCAGAACCCUUUAUCUCCCCUCCCAGAAGAAAGUCACCAUAAGGCAAAUCCACCGUGAGCAACACCUACCAAGCCAUCCUCUCCACGGACGGGAGCAGGUCCUAUGCCCUGUUUCUCUACCAGAGCGGUAGGAUGCAGUGGGACGUGGCCCAGCACUCAGGCAACCUGGUGCUCAUAGGCUUCUCCAGUGGAGAUGGCUAUUUCGAAAACAGCCCACUGAUGUCCCAGCCAGUGUGGGAGCGGUAUCGCCCUGAUAGAUUCCUGAAUUCCAACUCAGG